AGUAAGGUGAAACCGCGAAUGGCUCAUUAAAUCAGUCAUGGUUCCUUAGAACAUACCAUCCUUCUUGGAUAACUGUGGUAAUUCUAGAGCUAAUACAUGCAACUGAGCUCCGACCCUUGUGGAACGAGCGCUUUUAUUAGACCAAAGACCAAUCGGAGCUUCGGCCCCGUCAGUCUGUGGUGACUCUGGAUAACUUUUAGCGGAUCGCACGGUCAUCGUGCCGGCGACUCCUCUUUCAAAUGUCUGCCUUAUCAACUUUCGAUGGUAGGUUAAUUGCCUACCAUGGUUGUAACGGGUGACGGGGAAUCAGGGUUCGAUUCCGGAGAGGGAGCCUGAGAAACGGCUACCACAUCCAAGGAAGGCAGCAGGCACGCAAAUUACCCACUCCCAGUACGGGGAGGUAGUGACGAAAAAUAACAAUGCGGGACUCUUACGAGGCCCCGUAAUUGGAAUGAGUCCACUUUAAAUCCUUUAACGAGGACCUAUUGGAGGGCAAGUCUGGUGCCAGCAGCCGCGGUAAUUCCAGCUCCAAUAGCGUAUACUAAAGUUGUUGCGGUUAAAAAGCUCGUAGUUGGAUGUCAGUCGCGGGCGGGCGGUCCACCGUUUUGGUGGUUUACUGCUCGUCCCGCGACCUACUCGCCGGCCUCCCCCGCUAUGCUCUUCACCGGGUGUGGCGGGUGGCCGGAAAGUUUACUUUGAAAAAAUUAGAGUGCUCUAAGCAGGUGCUUGCCGCCUGAAUAACACAGCAUGGAAUAAUGGAAUAGGACCUCGGUUCUAUUUUGUUGGUUUUCGGAAUUCCGAGGUAAUGAUUAAUAGGGACAGACGGGGGCA
This 831-nucleotide ribosomal RNA is filed under the name Oxidus gigas. Its description in RNAcentral is "SSU rRNA". It matches the Rfam family "Eukaryotic small subunit ribosomal RNA", at positions 75 to 890 of the family's 1831-position model. The record is from RNAcentral. Lineage: Eukaryota; Metazoa; Arthropoda; Diplopoda; Polydesmida; Paradoxosomatidae.